CAAGCAGCUUGUUUAUAGUUUGACUGACUCACCAUCACUUCCGGAGGUGCAAUGUGGUAUUACAAGACUACCUAAUUUCCUCCCCUCGAUUGAGAUUUGGACAUGCUAAACGAUUGGUCGCCACCCCGAUCUUGUGGCUGUCACCCGAUGCCGCACACAGCAGACGCUUGAUGAGGUUUUAAUAAUUUAUCGACAUUACGCUGCACGCCAUCAUUUAUGUAUGUGACGCUCAAUAUAUAUAUUUUUUUUAAUCACGCCUUGGCCACCUGGGGGCAGAGUUGUACAUUUAUGCAGGUAGACUUUCAGAUAGAGUUGAUGUCAACUCCCCAGCAGUAUGGUCUAGCAGCUAGCUUCACAGAGGAUAAAGAAUACAUGCCUAAUAAGCCGAGUGAUGGAGGAAAAGUGCCCACCUUGUCCAGGCAGCUGACUUUCUCUGUGGGGUAAACAACCUUCCCGCAGCGGGCACACUGGGGGUUCAUCCUCGCGAUUCGGGUGGGUGUCCAAUGUUGGGGUCCUGAGGCUGAUGAAGUCGCCACAGAGGACGCUGGAGCAGAGGCUCCGGAGUGGAAGCUGCUCGGCAGAUUUGUGCUGGACCAAGUGAACAACUCGUGGAGCACAAGAGCAGUCCCGACAGUGAGCGCCGCAGAGUGCGACAAGCUCGCAGCACUUCACAGCCACCGGAAACGCGAGAACGGCUUCCUCCCGACCCGCUUCCUUGAAAGUAAAAAAAGAGAGGCUUUUUUUUUAAUUUCCUUCUUCCAAUUGAUGGCGUCCAAACAACUCACAACGCAGCAGUUCGCAAUCAAUAUUGUAAA
Molecule: long non-coding RNA, 815 nt
Organism: Syngnathus acus (greater pipefish)
Lineage: Eukaryota; Metazoa; Chordata; Actinopteri; Syngnathiformes; Syngnathidae
Exons: 2
Source: RefSeq, a predicted model, not a curated record